GGGCCCGCACAAGCGGUGGAGCAUGUGGUUUAAUUCGAUGAUACGCGAGGAACCUUACCAGGGCUUAAAUGUAGUGGGACAGGUCUAGAGAUAGACCCUUCUUCGGACUCAUUACAAGGUGCUGCAUGGUUGUCGUCAGCUCGUGCCGUGAGGUGUCAGGUUAAGUCCUAUAACGAGCGCAACCCCUAUCGUUAGUUGCCAGCGAGUAAUGUCGGGAACUCUAACGAAACUGCCAGUGAUAAGCUGGAGGAAGGUGGGGAUGACGUCAAGUCCUCAUGGCCCUUAUGUGUUGGGCUACACACGUGCUACAAUGGCCGGUACAGAGAGCAGCCACUUCGCAAGAAGGAGCG
Molecule: ribosomal RNA, 350 nt
Filed under: uncultured bacterium
Lineage: Bacteria
Description: bacterial SSU rRNA
Rfam family: Bacterial small subunit ribosomal RNA
Source: RNAcentral